AAAAUUCCUGCGGGCCCAUUCCGUUACAGCGAUGCUAGACAAUAGUCUGGUCAUUUUGGCACCUCCUCCACUGCAAAGAGCAGAGAGGAGUGGACAAGUGGAGUUACCGAUCUGUUGAUCUGCUGGGAGGUCCACCUACAUCCAGAGGUGUGUCUUUGUCUUUGUCUCCGUAUUUAUCGGGCUUUUUCCGCCGUGCACAUCCACGUCUGACACUGGCUGUAUUUGGGGGUCUCGUUGAGUGACAGCUGGAUCCUCUGACUGAGAGCUUGGCGACCCGUCUCUCUGCAGAUGGGAGCAGUAGAAAGCAGGAUGUUGCGCGUACGCGUCUUUGACAGCGCGCGCACCCGAUAGGUCACACAUCUUGGGUCCGCAAAACAUCUGCCGUAAAAAAAAAAAAAAA
Sebastes umbrosus (honeycomb rockfish) is the source of this 400-nucleotide long non-coding RNA. RefSeq lists it as uncharacterized. The record is from RefSeq and is a predicted model, not a curated record. The transcript is spliced from 2 exons. Lineage: Eukaryota; Metazoa; Chordata; Actinopteri; Perciformes; Sebastidae.